RNAcentral lists this ribosomal RNA (510 nucleotides) under uncultured bacterium. Its description in RNAcentral is "partial 16S ribosomal RNA". It matches the Rfam family "Bacterial small subunit ribosomal RNA", at positions 28 to 507 of the family's 1533-position model. The record is from RNAcentral.
GACGAACGCUGGCGGCGUGCUUAACACAUGCAAGUCGAACGAAGAGCGAUGGAAGCUUGCUUCUAUCAAUCUUAGUGGCGAACGGGUGAGUAACGCGUAAUCAACCUGCCCUUCAGAGGGAGACAACAGUUGGAAACGACUGCUAAUACCGCAUACGAUCUAAUCUCGGCAUCGAGGAUAGAUGAAAGGUGGCCUCUACAUGUAAGCUAUCACUGAAGGAGGGGAUUGCGUCUGAUUAGCUAGUUGGAGGGGUAACGGCCCACCAAGGCGAUGAUCAGUAGCCGGUCUGAGAGGAUGAACGGCCACAUUGGGACUGAGACACGGCCCAGACUCCUACGGGAGGCAGCAGUGGGGAAUCUUCCGCAAUGGACGAAAGUCUGACGGAGCAACGCCGCGUGAGCGAUGACGGCCUUCGGGUUGUAAAGCUCUGUUAAUCGGGACGAAAGGCCUUCUUGCGAAUAGUGAGAAGGAUUGACGGUACCGGAAUAGAAAGCCACGGCUAACCACGUG